AGCAGACUCCCCACUGAGCAGGGAGCUGGACUCAGGACACGAUCCCAGGACCCUGGGAUCAUGACCCGAGCUGAAGGCAGCCACUUAACCGACUGAGCCACGCAGGUGCCCCGUACUCAGUUCAUAUUUAUCACGCACCAACUCGGUGGUUGAGAAUCUUCUUGUGGCAGAAUCUGUCUCCAUUACCGUCUAGCUGGACUGAGUUAUGUGGGAUAUGGAGCCUGCAACAAUGUGAUGGCAUUUUGCAGAAAGAAAAGAAAAAAUAAAACACCAGGAUGAUUUCCUCGAGAAGUUUCUUACUUUCAGAAAACUACACAGGUGUGGCUGAGUGCUAUACAAAGUGUGCAGUCAGCCUCUCUCUGCCCGGCAUCCAAACAGGCUGCCGAGGGUACCUGCAGCCUGGGCGUCGGUGAGGUAUGAAGAUGGCUCAGGUAGGUACUGAAAGAUGACUGUGACAUGCCUGGGGAACAAGUAAACCAUCUUUAAGCCCCGUGGGC
Ailuropoda melanoleuca (giant panda) is the source of this 497-nucleotide long non-coding RNA. RefSeq lists it as uncharacterized. The record is from RefSeq and is a predicted model, not a curated record. Lineage: Eukaryota; Metazoa; Chordata; Mammalia; Carnivora; Ursidae. The transcript has 3 exons.